Molecule: microRNA, 19 nt
Filed under: Pristionchus pacificus
Lineage: Eukaryota; Metazoa; Nematoda; Chromadorea; Rhabditida; Neodiplogasteridae
Description: ppc-miR-8316-3p
Source: miRBase by way of RNAcentral
AUGGUGUCCAGGUCGUCGC